GGGAAUGUGACUUAGUGGUAGAGUGCUUGUCUUGCAUGCAUGAAGCCCUGGGUUCGAUUUCUUAGCACCA
This 70-nucleotide transfer RNA is filed under the name Dipodomys ordii (Ord's kangaroo rat). It matches the Rfam family "tRNA". Rfam says of the family: Transfer RNA (tRNA) molecules are approximately 80 nucleotides in length. Lineage: Eukaryota; Metazoa; Chordata; Mammalia; Rodentia; Heteromyidae. The record is from Rfam by way of RNAcentral.